This 497-nucleotide ribosomal RNA is filed under the name uncultured bacterium. Its description in RNAcentral is "partial 16S ribosomal RNA". It matches the Rfam family "Bacterial small subunit ribosomal RNA", at positions 28 to 507 of the family's 1533-position model. The record is from RNAcentral.
GAUGAACGCUGGCGGUGUGCCUAAUACAUGCAAGUCGAGCGAACAGACGAGGAGCUUGCUCCUCUGACGUUAGCGGCGGACGGGUGAGUAACACGUGGAUAACCUACCUAUAAGACUGGGAUAACUUCGGGAAACCGGAGCUAAUACCGGAUAAUAUAUUGAACCGCAUGGUUCAAUAGUGAAAGACGGUUUUGCUGUCACUUAUAGAUGGAUCCGCGCCGCAUUAGCUAGUUGGUAAGGUAACGGCUUACCAAGGCAACGAUGCGUAGCCGACCUGAGAGGGUGAUCGGCCACACUGGAACUGAGACACGGUCCAGACUCCUACGGGAGGCAGCAGUAGGGAAUCUUCCGCAAUGGGCGAAAGCCUGACGGAGCAACGCCGCGUGAGUGAUGAAGGUCUUCGGAUCGUAAAACUCUGUUAUUAGGGAAGAACAAAUGUGUAAGUAACUAUGCACGUCUUGACGGUACCUAAUCAGAAGGCCACGGCUAACUACGUG